This 253-nucleotide ribosomal RNA is filed under the name uncultured bacterium. RNAcentral describes it as "partial 16S ribosomal RNA". It matches the Rfam family "Bacterial small subunit ribosomal RNA", at positions 524 to 776 of the family's 1533-position model. The record is from RNAcentral.
UACGAAGGGGGCCAGCGUUGCUCGGAAUCACUGGGCGUAAAGGGCGCGUAGGCGGAUCUUUAAGUCGGGGGUGAAAGCCCAGGGCUCAACCCUGGAAUUGCCUUCGAUACUGAAGAUCUCGAGACCGGAAGAGGUAAGUGGAACUGCGAGUGUAGAGGUGAAAUUCGUAGAUAUUCGCAAGAACACCAGUGGCGAAGGCGGCUUACUGGUCCGGUUCUGACGCUGAGGCGCGAAAGCGUGGGGAGCAAACAGG